CCCCUGCUUGCCGCUGCGCUGUUCGCCUUGGUCGCUCUCCUGCGCCUCCUCCGAGGCCCCGUCUGUGUCCCGGGAUGCCCGUCCAGUGCCGGACCGCCAUCCCGCCGCCUCCUUGGUCUCGUCACUGGCAUCCGCGUUUAGGGUCAUUGUCGGUGACCACCCACCUCCACACCCCAAGGCCCACCCGACGCUUUAAUGACAUCUCGGAAUCCGGCCCCCUCUUCCCGCCUCCUCCUUAGUCCAUCCGCUUUCUGUCUCCUGGGGCUCCAGUCCCUUACUUGGGAAUCUCCCGUCCCCCCCGUCUUGUGUCCCCUUCCCCUCCCCCAGGCCCUCUCCUGCCUGCCCUGCUCCCCCAGGACAGAGCCUGGCCGGCCCAGGGCAGGUACUUCAGAAAAGACUGCUGAGUGAGUGGCCGGAGCUGUGGGCAGUGCCAGGAGCGGGCUGGGCCUCCCGACGGGCCUGUCCUGGCGUCGGGUCCCUGGGGGAGGGGAGGCUACGGGUGGGAAGGCCCUGGGCUCCCCCGAGGGCAACAGGCCUGGGCCGCGCACCUGGAGCUCCCUGCAGGUGUCUUCGCAGCCUUGGGGCCGCCCAGGUCCCUGCUCUAGUUGGAGGCGGGGCUUGGGCGGGACACCGAAGACCAUGGCCCACAGGUGUCACUUGUUUAUAUUAAGUCCCCGGCGUAAUACCUUCCAAAUCCAUCCAUGUUGAUGCAAAUGGAAAAAUUUCCUUCUUUUUUAUAGACUGUUGUCCACUGUGGCUGCCCCAUUUCCCAUUCCCACCAGCAGCGAACAAAGGCUCUGAUUUCUCCACAUCCUCCAUUGUUAUUUUCUGGGUUUUGACAGUCGUAUACCCAUGGACGUGUGGUGUUGGAUUUGACCUCAUGGUUGGAUGAUGGAAAUGCAACGCCUCCACCUCAAGAACCAGCCCCGCCGGUCUCACUUGCUUCUCAGGGAAUGUGACCCCCUCGGGCCCAGGCUGACCCCACAGCAUAGACAGUGGGUCUCUGGGUGUUACUUGGCCCGAGCCAAGGACUGUCCUCGAGGGACUGGUCCAGAGGCCUGACCGGGAGGGUGGCCGUGACCCAGGGUGCUGGUGGCAGACGCAGAGACGAGAGGCCAGGAGGCCUGGAUGGGAGGGACGGGGGCUGCCCAGCUCCUCUCCCGUUGGGCUGGGCGCUGCUCCUUUGAAAUAAACUCUUUGCCCAGGCCUGCUGGCCCAGUCCCCAAGCAGACGUCUUGUCCUGCCCGUCUCCACAAGGUGAAAGAUAGAAAUUAAACCAGGAGGUGCCAUGUGAGGACCUUGAAAAGACUUUUGGAGGCAGGGUCUCUCUCCCCUGCAACUGCUCCCGUCGGGGCCAGUACAUUCUCUGCGGGGUCAUCGUGGGCACUGUGGGGUGUGGAGCAGCAUCCCUGGCCCCGCCCACUCAUGCCAGGAGCCCCCCCUGAGUCGUGACAACCACAGAUGUCCCCAGCCAAGCGUUCCUGCAAGCUAAUAUGAGGCAUUCAUGGCACUUACCUUGGGCAGAAAAUUUAGUGGGCGCCAGAAACUUCAAGAUUAAUGGCAGUUAAUGCAAUAUUUUAACAAUCCGAAAUGAAUGCAAAAAAUCCAUGAUGAACAAAAUGUCAAAAAUUUUUUAAAUUUUAAUGAAGUAUAUAGUUAGUUGAUUUACAAUGUUGUGUUUAAUUUCCGCUAUACAGCAAAGUGACUCAGUCAUACAUAUAUAUAUUCUUUUUCAUAUUCUUUUCCAUUAUGGUUUAUCACAAGAUAUGGAAUGUAUUUCCCUAUGCUAUAUAGUAGGACCUUGCUAUUUAUCCAUUCUGUAUAAAAUAGUUUGCAUCUGCUAAUCCCAAACUCCCACUCCAUCCCUCCCCACCCUUGGCAAUCACAAGUUUGUUCCUCUGUGUCUGUCUGUUUUUGUUUUGUAGAUAUGUUCAUUUGUGUUGUAUUUUAGAUUCCACAUAUAAGUGGUAUCAUAUGGUAUUUGUCUUCUCUUUCUGACUUACUUAGUAUGACAGUCUCUAGUUGCAUCCCUGUUGGCUGCAAAUGGCAUUAUUCUUUUUGAUGGCUGAGUAGUAUUCCAUUGUAUAUGUACCAAACUUCUUUAUCCAUUCAUCUGUCGAUGGACAUUUAUGUUACUUCCGUGUCUUGGCAAUUGUACAUAAUGCUGCUAUGAACAUUGGGGUGCCUGUAACUUUUUAAAUGAUAGUUUUGUCUGGUAUAUGCCCAGGAGUGGGAUUGCUGGAUCAUAUGGCAAUUCUAUUUUUUGUUUUUUUUGGCCACGCCAUGCGGCUUGUGGGAUCUUAGUUCCCCGACCAGGGAUUGAACCAGGGCCCUUGGCAGUGAAAGCACGGAGUCCUAACCACUGGACUGCCAGGAAAUUCCCUAUUUUUAGUUUUUUAAGGAACCUCCGUACUGUUCUCCAUAGUGGCUGUACCAAUUUACAUUCCCACCAACAGUGUAGGAGGGUUCCCUUUUCUCCGCACCCUCUCCAGCAUUUAUUAUUUGUAGACUUUUUAAUGAUGGCCAUUCUGACUGGUGUGAGGUGGUAACUCACUGUGGUUUUGAUUUUCAUUUCUCUAAUAAUUAGCGAUGUUAAGCAUCUUUUCAUGUGCCUAUUGGCCAUCUUUGGAGAACUAUCUAUUUAGGUCUUCUGCCCAUUUUUUGAUUGGACUGUUUUUUUUGUUAUUGAAUUGUAGGAGCUAUUUAUAUACAAAAUGUAAAAAAUUUAAAUACAGAUUGAACAGUACUGUGCCAUUUUAAAGUGAGACAAAAUGAGGAAGAUAUGCCCUUUAUACAUUUUUUAAAGCAAUAUUUACUGAACACCAACCUAGUACAAGACAUUGUAGGAAGAUAUUUUUAUUUUAUUUAUUUAGUAUUUUAUUUUAUUUUAUUAUUUUAUUUUAUUUUUUGGCCGCUCAGCGCAGCAUGUGGGAUCUUAGUUCCCCGACCAGGGAUCGAACCCACACCCCCUGCAUUGGAAGCAGAGAGUCUUAACCACUGGACCGCCAGGGAAGUCCCCCUUUAUACAAUAAGUUUUUAUGUAGUUUUUGAUGGUUAACUUUCCCCUCCCUGAACACUGAAGUGGUUGAAAAAGUAUUGAAAUGUUGAAAAGGAGUUGUAUGAGAACUCACAGAAGUUUAAGCCUAAAUAUUGUACUUAAUCCGAACCUGAAGUUAUUAGAAUUUUACUUUUUUGGCUUUCACAAAAGCAAACUCAGAUAUUUUCAUUAAAACCAUUAGCCAUUACAAAAAUACAUAACUCGUGUACAGGGGCUCACAUUUCCUUUUGUUUCAGGCUUUGAUGGGGGGCUGUGGGACUGUCCACAUCUGCAUGAGUUAGAAAUUUUAUUUUUAAAAUUGAGUAACUUAUCUCAGAAUCCGUCACUUAUAGGUAUUUAAGUGGCAUCUAUUCAUUUAUGUAUGAAAUAACAUCACUCCACAGAUAUUGUUAUAAUGGCAAAUGACAGGAAAUGAAUGUCCUUUGCUAAUAGACUGGUUAGUAAAUGUUGGUACCAGGCAGCCAUUUAAAAACUGAGGACGCUGUGUGUUUCUUUUCUGUUUAAUUGAAUUGUAGAUUUAUAAUGUGUUAGUUUCAGGUGUACAGCAAAGUGAUUCAGUUAUACACAUGCAUGUAUAUUUUUUCAUAUUUUUUCAUUAUGGUUUAUUAUAAGAUAUUGACUAUAGUUCCCUGUGCUAUACAGUAGGUUCUUGUUGUUUAUCUGUUUAUAGUAGUGUGUGUAUGUUAAUCCCAAACUCCUAAUUUAUCCCUCCCUUCCCCCCUUUCCCCUUUGGUAACCAGAAGUUUGUUUUCUGUCUGUGAGCCUAUUUGUUUUGUAAAUAAGUUCAUUUGUAUCAUCUUUUUAGAUUCCACAUAUAAGUGAUAUCAUAUGAUAUUUGUCUUUGGCUGGCUGACUUCACUUAGUAUGAUGAUCUCUAGGUCCAUCCAUGUUGCUGCAAAUGGCAAUACUUCAUCCUUUUUUAUGGCUGAGUAAAUAGUCCACUGUGUAUAUGUACCACAUUAUCCAUUCCUCUGUCAAUGGACAUUGAGGUUGCUUCCAUGCCUUGGCUAUUGUAACUAGUGCUGCUAGGAACAUUGGGGUCCAUGUAUCUUUUAAUACAUUUAUUUAUUUAUUUAUUUAUUUA
This is a long non-coding RNA of Balaenoptera ricei (Rice's whale), 4142 nucleotides long. RefSeq lists it as uncharacterized. The record is from RefSeq and is a predicted model, not a curated record. The transcript is spliced from 3 exons. Lineage: Eukaryota; Metazoa; Chordata; Mammalia; Artiodactyla; Balaenopteridae.